GAUCAUGGCUCAGGAUGAACGCUAGCUACAGGCUUAACACAUGCAAGUCGAGGGGAAACGACAUCGAAAGCUUGCUUUCGAUGGGCGUCGACCGGCGCACGGGUGAGUAACGCGUAUCCAACCUGCCCACCACUUGGGGAUAACCUUGCGAAAGUAAGACUAAUACCCGAUGAUAUCUCUAGAAGACAUCUGAAGGGGAUUAAAGAUUUAUCGGUGAUGGAUGGGGAUGCGUCUGAUUAGCUUGUUGGCGGGGUAACGGCCCACCAAGGCGACGAUCAGUAGGGGUUCUGAGAGGAAGGUCCCCCACAUUGGAACUGAGACACGGUCCAAACUCCUACGGGAGGCAGCAGUGAGGAAUAUUGGUCAAUGGGCGCAAGCCUGAACCAGCCAAGUAGCGUGCAGGAAGACGGCCCUAUGGGUUGUAAACUGCUUUCAGUCGGGAAUAAUUCGUCGGUCGUGACCGACGUUGCAGGUACCGUCAUAAGAAGGACCGGCUAAUUCCGUG
This 505-nucleotide ribosomal RNA is filed under the name uncultured bacterium. RNAcentral's name for it is "bacterial SSU rRNA". It matches the Rfam family "Bacterial small subunit ribosomal RNA", at positions 15 to 507 of the family's 1533-position model. The record is from RNAcentral.